AGCUUGCUCCCCGCUGACGAGCGGCGGACGGGUGAGUAAUGCAUAGGAAACUGCCCAGUAGUGGGGGAUAGCCCGGGGAAACCCGGAUUAAUACCGCAUACGCCCUUUGGGGGAAAGCAGGGGAUCUUCGGACCUUGCGCUAUUGGAUGUGCCUAUGUCGGAUUAGCUAGUUGGUGGGGUAAGAGCCUACCAAGGCGACGAUCCGUAGCUGGUCUGAGAGGAUGAUCAGCCACAUCGGGACUGAGACACGGCCCGAACUCCUACGGGAGGCAGCAGUGGGGAAUAUUGGACAAUGGGGGCAACCCUGAUCCAGCCAUGCCGCGUGUGUGAAGAAGGCUUUCGGGUUGUAAAGCACUUUCAGUGAGGAGGAAAACCUUACGACUAAUACUCGUGAGGCUUGACGUUACUCACAGAAGAAGCACCGGCUAACUCCGUGCCAGCAGCCGCGGUAAUACGGAGGGUGCAAGCGUUAAUCGGAAUUACUGGGCGUAAAGCGCGCGUAGGUGGUUUGAUAAGCGAGAUGUGAAAGCCCCGGGCUCAACCUGGGAACGGCAUUUCGAACUGUCAGGCUAGAGUAUGGUAGAGGAGUGUGGAAUUUCCUGUGUAGCGGUGAAAUGCGUAGAUAUAGGAAGGAACACCAGUGGC
Molecule: ribosomal RNA, 645 nt
Filed under: Marinobacter sp.
Lineage: Bacteria; Pseudomonadati; Pseudomonadota; Gammaproteobacteria; Pseudomonadales; Marinobacteraceae
Description: bacterial SSU rRNA
Rfam family: Bacterial small subunit ribosomal RNA
Source: RNAcentral